GCCCGGAUGGUGGAAUUGGUAGACACGCUAGCUUGAGGGGCUAGUGAGAGAAAUCUCGUGCCGGUUCAAAUCCGGCUUCGGGCA
This 84-nucleotide transfer RNA is filed under the name Spirochaetota bacterium. RNAcentral describes it as "tRNA-Leu". It matches the Rfam family "tRNA". Rfam says of the family: Transfer RNA (tRNA) molecules are approximately 80 nucleotides in length. Their secondary structure includes four short double-helical elements and three loops (D, anti-codon, and T loops). The record is from RNAcentral. Lineage: Bacteria; Pseudomonadati; Spirochaetota.